GUAGAUCCAGCCAUGCCGCGUGCGGGAAGAAGGCCUUCGGGUUGUAAACCGCUUUUGUCAGGGAAGAAAUCUUCUGAGCUAAGUACCUCGGGGGGAUGACGGUACCUGGAGAAUAAGCACCGGCUAACUACGUGCCAGCAGCCGCGGUAAUACGUAGGGUGCAAGCGUUAAUCGGAAUUACUGGGCGUAAAGCGUGCGCAGGCGGUUGUGCAAGACAGAUGUGAAAUCCCCGGGCUUAACCUGGGAACUGCAUUUGUGACUGCACGGCUAGAGUGCGGCAGAGGGGGAUGGAAUUCCGCGUGUAGCAGUGAAAUUCGUAGAUAUCGGGAGGAACACCAGUGGCGAAGGCGGAAACCUGGGGCCGAUACUGACGCUGAGGUGCGAAAGCGUGGGGAGCAAACAGGAUUAGAUACCUGGUAGUCCACGCCGUAAACGAUGAGCGCUAGGUGUUGGGGGUAUUGACCCCCCAGUACCGCAGCUAACGCGUUAAGCGCUCCGCCUGGGGAGUACGGCCGCAAGGCUAAAACUCAAAGGAAUUGACGGGGGC
Molecule: ribosomal RNA, 547 nt
Filed under: uncultured bacterium
Lineage: Bacteria
Description: bacterial SSU rRNA
Rfam family: Bacterial small subunit ribosomal RNA
Source: RNAcentral